This 71-nucleotide transfer RNA is filed under the name Loxodonta africana (African savanna elephant). It matches the Rfam family "tRNA". Rfam says of the family: Transfer RNA (tRNA) molecules are approximately 80 nucleotides in length. Their secondary structure includes four short double-helical elements and three loops (D, anti-codon, and T loops). The record is from Rfam by way of RNAcentral. Lineage: Eukaryota; Metazoa; Chordata; Mammalia; Proboscidea; Elephantidae.
GCAGUGGUGGUUCAGUGGUAGAAUUCUUGCCUUCCAUGCAGGAUGCCAGGGUUUGAUUUCUGGCCAACGUA